Pelobates cultripes (western spadefoot toad) is the source of this 887-nucleotide non-coding RNA. The record is from the annotation of a GenBank genome assembly. Lineage: Eukaryota; Metazoa; Chordata; Amphibia; Anura; Pelobatidae.
UUUUAUGAUUCAUACUAAUCAGAAUGAUGUGUAAAGAUCAAUAAGGUCUCUCUUUAAACUUUAGUUAAUCGGAAUGCCCUUUCUAAAAUAAUCAUUGCUAGAUCAUUGUGAUACAAAAAGACAAAAUAUCAGUCCUGCUGAAGAAUACAAAGGAUUUACAUUUACUAGAACCUACAUUUUAGCUGCUUAAAGACACUCUGUGUUUGUGUGCUGAAACGCUUUAGAUGUAAUGUCUUUAUCCCUGCAGGCCUAUUUUUUAAAAGUACUGAUUUCAUGAAAACACUUUUAUGAAUCACCUUAGUAACUACUCGGAGCUGUAAAGAAGGCAGUCAGAAGAGUUACCUGUAAUUGUUUUAAACUGUAGUGUAAAGUGGAUGUGAAUGCUUCUCAGAGAGAAGCAUUAAUUUCAAUUACAGCUAUUGUUAUGCAAGUGCUAUGUGUCUCAAGGGCUUCUCUAUGAGAAGCUUGUGAUUGGACACAGAUCAUCAGUCCUUAGAAGGAGGACCAGAUGUACAGUGAGGAGACUGACCUGUCGCUGGAAUAAAGGUGAACUGGUAUAGGGUUAGCGUUAACUACCAAAACUUAAUUUAGUUCCUGAUACGUGAAUCUAUUUUGAGUUAUUUUUCGUUGAUUGCAUGAUUUUUUUAAAAAAAACAUUCUUUUUCUAUUUUUAACAUUUUGUUCCAAGAUAAAGUUGUGUUAGGUAUAUAAAUAGGAUACUAAAAUAUAGCCUUUUCUGUCUUAAACCCCUCCCCCAAUAUAUAAUAUGCAUUGGUGCACUGAAAGAGAAACCCUUAAAUGACAGUGGAACAAACAUACAGCGUAAAAUUGUGGUUAACAUUUUAAACAAUUAAUUAAAUAGAAAGGUACUUGCCUACUGGUGUCAG